GUGUCUUGUGUAAUCCUGAGAACAAAUUCAAGAGAUAGUGUGCUGCAGUCACACACAUCAAAACAUAUGGUUCCUGCCAGCAGGGUCUAUGAUUAUCAGAUUGUCUGUGCGAUGGCUCCAUACAUG
This is a non-coding RNA of Myotis myotis, 126 nucleotides long. NCBI's taxonomy places the organism in Eukaryota, Metazoa, Chordata, Mammalia, Chiroptera, Vespertilionidae. The record is from RefSeq and is a predicted model, not a curated record.